This 73-nucleotide transfer RNA is filed under the name Bos taurus (domestic cattle). It matches the Rfam family "tRNA". Rfam says of the family: Transfer RNA (tRNA) molecules are approximately 80 nucleotides in length. Their secondary structure includes four short double-helical elements and three loops (D, anti-codon, and T loops). The record is from Rfam by way of RNAcentral. Lineage: Eukaryota; Metazoa; Chordata; Mammalia; Artiodactyla; Bovidae.
UCCCUGAUGGUCCAGUAGUUAAGACUCUGUGUUUCCACCGCAGGAGGCAUGAGUUCAAUCCCCGGUUGGGGAA